This 254-nucleotide ribosomal RNA is filed under the name uncultured bacterium. RNAcentral describes it as "partial 16S ribosomal RNA". It matches the Rfam family "Bacterial small subunit ribosomal RNA", at positions 524 to 776 of the family's 1533-position model. The record is from RNAcentral.
UACGAAGGGGGCUAGCGUUGCUCGGAAUCACUGGGCGUAAAGGGUGCGUAGGCGGGUCUUUUAAGUCAGGGGUGAAAUCCUGGAGCUCAACUCCAGAACUGCCUUUGAUACUGGAGAGCUUGAGUCCGGGAGAGGUGAGUGGAACUCCGAGUGUAGAGGUGAAAUUCGUAGAUAUUCGGAAGAACACCAGUGGCGAAGGCGGCUCACUGGCCCGGUACUGACGCUGAGGUGCGAAAGCGUGGGGAGCAAACAGG